This 965-nucleotide long non-coding RNA is filed under the name Marmota monax (woodchuck). The record is from RNAcentral. Lineage: Eukaryota; Metazoa; Chordata; Mammalia; Rodentia; Sciuridae.
CGGCGGCUGCAGGCUGAAGUAGGUAGCGGGAGGCUCCAACUCCCGCGGGCCCCAUUCCCACUAGGCCAUCUGCGUGACUGAGCCGAGCCCGCUCCCGGCCCCCGCGAGGUCCCGGUCCCCCGGCUCCGCCGCGCCCGCAAGCUCCGCCCUCGUAUUCGUGGGGCGCGCGGAGGGAGGGGGACACUAGACUGCUGAGGGACCGAGCCGAGCCUGGAGGGUCUGGGCAGAAUCCGGAAGGGACCGGUUUGCGGCGGAGAGGCGGGGCCCAGGCGACCGCCCACGCUGAGAGUUCCUGGAAGUCGCCGGUGGCAGCGCGCAGGGGCGGGGCGCCGAGGAGAGCGCGAGACCCGGCGAGGGCACGCCCCGCCCCUGGCGUGAGGGACACGGUCGCCCCGCCCCGCACGCCGGCCACUUACCCCACCCUCGCGUCCCGUCGCCGCUCAGAUGUCCACGCCGAGAUCAAGUUCCCACCCGGCCGAGGCCCGCUUUGUCCCCGCCUAGGGGAGGUGGAACAGGGUCCCGGAACUCGGUAAACCGGUCUGGGUACUUCUGUGCUGGUCUCCACCUGCGGCCUGGCCCUUUCCCAGUCCCGAAAAGACUGGCCCUUGCUUUUUAAAAUGAUUCUUCUUUCAGUGCUGUGGGUGGACAUCGAACCCCGGGCCAGCUAAGCCCGCGCUCCGGCCACUGAGGACUUCGGUUUCCCCAUCUAUAUAUUUAUAUUUUUAAAAUUGCACAUUAGAAAGGUUGCAAAUGUAUCAUUCAUUCACAAGGUCGCUUAAGCACCUGCUAGACUCAAUCCCUGCCAUCCUGGAGACCUCAGGCUAGGAAACAAACCAAGAAACCAACAGAAAAGUGUAGUCAUUAUUACACACACACACACACACACACACACGGCCACGUGGUGCGGUGGCGCCAUGCCUGUAAUCCCAGCUGUUCAGGAGUCUGGAACAUAAAUUCGAGGCCAG